This is a long non-coding RNA of Grus americana (Whooping crane), 315 nucleotides long. RefSeq lists it as uncharacterized. NCBI's taxonomy places the organism in Eukaryota, Metazoa, Chordata, Aves, Gruiformes, Gruidae. The record is from RefSeq and is a predicted model, not a curated record. The transcript is spliced from 3 exons.
AGACCCCCCCCCCCCAAAAUCCCCAUAACGGGACCCCCCCUCCUCCUCCUCCAUACCGGGGAUCCCCCCCGCCCCCCCAAUACCGGGACACCCACACCCCCCCCCCGCCAUGCGCCCCCCCUUCCCGGCCGCCCUUUGCAUCUUGGGGACCCUCCUGGCUCUGGGGGCGACAGAGACCGGCUCCAGCUGUUGGAAUUUGGGGCCCCUUGCCCGGCGGUGCCGGAAAGCUGCCUGCCCCCCACCUUGCCGGAGCGGGGGGCCAUGCCGGACCCCCCCUGCCUUCCUCACCCCCCGUUGCCAGCGAGCUGCCCCCCC